AAACAUUUCUUUUUUAUAAAAAUAAAAAGUAGACUCUGCCCAGUGAUUAUUUAAAUGGCUGCAGUAUAUUAACUGUACAAAGGUAGCAUAAUAAUUUGAUUUUUAAUUGGAAUCUUGAAUGAAGGAGGUGAUGAGAUAUAAACUUUAUUAAAUUAAAAUUUUGAAUUUAAAUUUAAAGUUAAAAUACUUUAAUAUAUUUAUGGGACGAGAAGACCCUAUAGAAUUUUAUAUAAUUUAAAUUGAUUGAUUAAUAAUAAAUAAUUUAAAUUAUAUUUAUUUGGGAGGAGUGUUAAAUUUAUAAACUUUAAUUAAUAAAUACAUAUAUUUAUGAAUUUUUAAGAUUUUAUUAAUUAAUUAUAAAAUUAAAUUACCUUAGGGAUAACAGCGUAAUAUUUUUUUAUAGUUCAUAUUGAAAAAAAUGUUU
This 424-nucleotide ribosomal RNA is filed under the name Epyris sp. RNAcentral's name for it is "partial large subunit ribosomal RNA". Lineage: Eukaryota; Metazoa; Arthropoda; Insecta; Hymenoptera; Bethylidae. The record is from RNAcentral.